This is a long non-coding RNA of Octopus sinensis (East Asian common octopus), 1546 nucleotides long. RefSeq lists it as uncharacterized. The record is from RefSeq and is a predicted model, not a curated record. The transcript is spliced from 5 exons. Lineage: Eukaryota; Metazoa; Mollusca; Cephalopoda; Octopoda; Octopodidae.
GGGCAAUAAAGAAAUAUAUAUAUAUAUAUAUAUAUACAUACAUACAUACAUACAUACAUACAUACACCCAACCACUUAUACAUAUCUUUUGCUAUAAUGACUAUAUAUGUCACUCGAAUACAGAAGUUGUAAUGGGUUAUUUAAUUGAUGUAUGCAUAUGUGUAUACAUAUGUAAUGCACACAUAUAUAAUGCACACAUACACACACAGACCCAGCCAGUGAUUGGACUACUACGAAAUUUUACAAACUACUAAAAAAUAGCACUCAAUUUUCAUUGAAACUAUUUCACAUUGUUAUAAACAUAGAAGCAAUUUUAAAACAAAUAGCCUUUGCCAUAGAUAAGGGUUGGACCACACCGACUGUAAGGUGUCAUGGUUGCAACAUAUGUGUGUUUGUGUAUCUGACCAUAUGAUCGUUCUUUCCAUAUAAUCAUUUACAUAUAUCUAGGAAUAUCUGAAAAGAAUAUUUUACUAAAUACUACAGGUAUCACAUUGAUACUGAACAGUUCUGGAGGUGAAAAACCCCCAAGGCGAACCGAAAAGAAUAGGAGACAAAGAAAUAAGGCCAAGUGCACUGUGCGAUAUUCUGACAGAAACCAAAUUUAUGAAACCAAAUUUCGGACAUCAAAUUUAUGAAAACAUAUUUUUGAAACUAAAUUUAUGAAACCAAAUUUAUGAAUCCAACGAAACCAAAUUAGGAAACUAAUGAAACCACAUUUACGAAACCAAAUUCAGAGCUUACCAAACACAAACGCAAGCACACACUUCUUAUUUUCGGGGACGGACUACAUAGACUGUGAUUGCUACACACCUCGAAUUAAAGUCGAGGACGAACCACAAAUUAAAAAGAAAGCGCAGAUGUAAAUCAUACACCCUCAGAUCAACAUACGCUUCGGGAAACAGAAAAUGCGCGUAUCUUUGUAAUUUUGGCUGGUUAUACUGGUUAUACUCGAGAUUGCUCCAAUCUGGCCAGCACCAAGGAAAAACUAAUCUAAGAGCAUUAGAUUCCUUGGAAUCAAGCAGCGAAUGUAUAUAAAAACAAGGACGGAAAAAAACGGACAAGGUUACAGAAAUAGAGUUGCACAAACAACACCAACUCAACCAGCCCCACAACCGGAAAGGGACAAAGGGCAAAGUAGUUGACCCUGCGGAAUAUGGACACAGGACAUAAAGAUGGGUGAAAUGCCGCUAAGCAUUAUGUAUAUCAUGCUAACGAUUCUAUCAGCUGCAGAAUACGGAUAUUAACAACGUUGAAAAGACCUCCUCCACAACGCACAAUUUGGGGCUUGAGUAUAUCUCAAAGAGAAACGACAAAGUUAGCAAUAGAAAAGGAAGAAAAACCUCACGGUGAAAUAUUCUACAGAUCUCAACUUUACAGCUGACGGUUGUAAGUUCGAAAGAUCUCAAAGAGAGAAGAAUAUAAACAAAGAAAGCAGAACAAUAAGAGCAAGCGUAGUCAAAUAUUCUAAAAGUGAGAAUUUGCCGAGUGAUUUGCUGCAGGAAUUCUUGGUCGAGGAAAGUAACACCAAAAAGAAGCGCAAUGGUUU